GAGGGCAUAGCUCAAGUGGUAGAGCACAUGCUUAGCAUGCACAAGGCCCUGGGUUCAACCCCCAGUACCUCCU
RNAcentral lists this transfer RNA (73 nucleotides) under Camelus bactrianus (Bactrian camel). It matches the Rfam family "tRNA". Rfam says of the family: Transfer RNA (tRNA) molecules are approximately 80 nucleotides in length. Their secondary structure includes four short double-helical elements and three loops (D, anti-codon, and T loops). RNAcentral also lists the same sequence under 2 other names. Lineage: Eukaryota; Metazoa; Chordata; Mammalia; Artiodactyla; Camelidae. The record is from Rfam by way of RNAcentral.